UGCUAAUUUCUUUGUUCUCAUUUUUGCAGGGUUUUACCAUAGGAGAUGGGAAUUUAACAUAAAUUUUUGGAAUAGGAGUAGUUGAGAAAUCAGAACAAGUUUUGAGACCUUCAAUGUGUUACUUGGAGUAGGAGAUUUGCAAGUUUUGUCUAUCUCAGAUUUGGGUUUAUUCCUCCUCUCUUUUGCCCAUUUAUCUUUGCUCAUUUACUUCUUUCAACCCUGUUUGUUCAUAUUUUUCAAAGAUCAGAAUGAGAGAGAAAAAAAGGGCUUCAAGAUGGAAGAUGGUGAAUUGUGAAACCUUCCCAUGAACUAAAGUUUUGUUGGAUCAAAGCACGGGGAAGAUUUGUAUGUGCUUAUCAUUCAAGGGACUUUGAUCCAGGUGGGUCAGCUUCUUCACAUCCAUAUUUAUCUAAUCAGGUACAAUUCUAGAAGCUUAAAUUUUUUGUAUUUGAUGCAAUUUGUAUUACACACCUUCAUCUAGAUUAUUACCAAGCCAACAAGUAUCAUUAUCUCA
Long non-coding RNA from Lotus japonicus, 514 nucleotides. RefSeq lists it as uncharacterized. The record is from RefSeq and is a predicted model, not a curated record. Lineage: Eukaryota; Viridiplantae; Streptophyta; Magnoliopsida; Fabales; Fabaceae. The transcript has 3 exons.